This 250-nucleotide ribosomal RNA is filed under the name uncultured bacterium. RNAcentral describes it as "partial 16S ribosomal RNA". It matches the Rfam family "Bacterial small subunit ribosomal RNA", at positions 355 to 621 of the family's 1533-position model. The record is from RNAcentral.
UAAGGAAUUUUUCGCAAUGGGGGAAACCCUGACGAAGCAACACCGCGUGAAGGAUGAAGGCCUUUUGGUUGUAAACUUCUUUUUUGAGGGAAUAAAUAUGAAUGUACCUCAAGAAUAAGCAUCGGCUAACUACGUGCCAGCAGCCGCGGUAAGACGUAGGAUGCAAGCGUUAUCCGGAAUUACUGGGCGUAAAGAGUUCGUAGGCGUUUUGUUAAGUAGAAUGUUAAAGACUUGAGCUCAACUCAGGGAA